ACCCUUUAAUGUUUGAUGUUCUAACGUGGACCCGUAAUCCGGGUUGCGGACAGUGUCUGGUGGGUAGUUUGACUGGGGCGGUCUCCUCCUAAAGAGUAACGGAGGAGCACGAAGGUUGGCUAAUCCUGGUCGGACAUCAGGAGGUUAGUGCAAUGGCAUAAGCCAGCUUGACUGCGAGCGUGACGGCGCGAGCAGGUGCGAAAGCAGGUCAUAGUGAUCCGGUGGUUCUGAAUGGAAGGGCCAUCGCUCAACGGAUAAAAGGUACUCCGGGGAUAACAGGCUGAUACCGCCCAAGAGUUCAUAUCGACGGCGGUGUUUGGCACCUCGAUGUCGGCUCAUCACAUCCUGGGGCUGAAGUAGGUCCCAAGGGUAUGGCUGUUCGCCAUUUAAAGUGGUACGCGAGCUGGGUUUAGAACGUCGUGAGACAGUUCGGUCCCUAUCUGCCGUGGGCGCUGGAGAACUGAGGGGGGCUGCUCCUAGUACGAGAGGACCGGAGUGGACGCAUCACUGGUGUUCGGGUUGUCAUGCCAAUGGCACUGCCCGGUAGCUAAAUGCGGAAGAGAUAAGUGCUGAAAGCAUCUAAGCACGAAACUUGCCCCGAGA
This 603-nucleotide ribosomal RNA is filed under the name Salmonella enterica. Its description in RNAcentral is "partial 23S ribosomal RNA". It matches the Rfam family "Bacterial large subunit ribosomal RNA", at positions 2202 to 2804 of the family's 2925-position model. Lineage: Bacteria; Pseudomonadati; Pseudomonadota; Gammaproteobacteria; Enterobacterales; Enterobacteriaceae. The record is from RNAcentral. RNAcentral also lists the same sequence under 1 other name.